This 73-nucleotide transfer RNA is filed under the name Cardinium endosymbiont cEper1 of Encarsia pergandiella. RNAcentral describes it as "tRNA-Arg (TCT) (tRNA-Arg-TCT-1-1)". It matches the Rfam family "tRNA". From Rfam's summary of the family: Transfer RNA (tRNA) molecules are approximately 80 nucleotides in length. Lineage: Bacteria; Pseudomonadati; Bacteroidota; Cytophagia; Cytophagales; Amoebophilaceae. The record is from RNAcentral.
GGUUCCGUAGCUCAAUGGAUAGAGCAACUGCCUUCUAAGCAGUAGGGUGAAGGUUCGAGUCCUUCCGGUACCA